GCGGGAGUGGCUCAGUUGGCUAGAGCGCGACCUUGCCAAGGUCGAUGUCGCGGGUUCAAAUCCCGUCUCCCGCUCCA
RNAcentral lists this transfer RNA (77 nucleotides) under Candidatus Omnitrophota bacterium. RNAcentral's name for it is "tRNA-Gly". It matches the Rfam family "tRNA". From Rfam's summary of the family: Transfer RNA (tRNA) molecules are approximately 80 nucleotides in length. Their secondary structure includes four short double-helical elements and three loops (D, anti-codon, and T loops). Further hydrogen bonds mediate the characteristic L-shaped molecular structure. tRNAs have two regions of fundamental functional importance: the anti-codon, which is responsible for specific mRNA codon recognition, and the 3' end, to which the tRNAs corresponding amino acid is attached (by aminoacyl-tRNA synthetases). tRNAs cope with the degeneracy of the genetic code in two manners: having more than one tRNA (with a specific anti-codon) for a particular amino acid; and 'wobble' base-pairing, i.e. permitting non-standard base-pairing at the 3rd anti-codon position. Lineage: Bacteria; Pseudomonadati; Candidatus Omnitrophota. The record is from RNAcentral.